This is a long non-coding RNA of Cyprinodon variegatus (sheepshead minnow), 544 nucleotides long. RefSeq lists it as uncharacterized. The record is from RefSeq and is a predicted model, not a curated record. The transcript has 3 exons. NCBI's taxonomy places the organism in Eukaryota, Metazoa, Chordata, Actinopteri, Cyprinodontiformes, Cyprinodontidae.
UUCCUGCAUCAGAACAUUUCCAGACCAGUGGAGGAGUGUGGUUCGUGCUGGAAGCUGCUGUUCUCUGUCUGUCCUGCUGUUUCUCUGCUCUCAGCUCUCUUCUCCUCACUGUUGGUCUACCUGCUUUGCCUGAAGAAAGCAAACAAUGAAGCUGAAAAUAAGAGAUGUGACAUUUCAAGGCAAACAGAAGGAGCUCAGGAUGAAAAUGUUUGUUACGCUGCCCUGGAAAUCCAUCCGCCAUCACAGAGGACAAAGAGGAAGAGGACGAUCCAAAGUUCAGAUUUCAGUACAUACUCUGCCAUCAAGACAUGAGGAGAUUCAUAUUUAACACAGAAAUUAAACAGUAAUAAAGGAGUCCUUAGAGUUUUAUUUCCUUUUAUUAACUUCCCUCCAAACUAAAGAAAAAAAUGUUUAAACCCUCAUCGUAACUCUUCUUUUCAGACAGCUUUGUCUUGGUGGUAUUUACAUCUCUGUUCAUCAGUGAAGCUCUUUUCAGUCCAGCACUGACCUUUGCAGGCAGAGCUGCUGUUGCUGCUUGUUUUAA